Phyllopteryx taeniolatus (common seadragon) is the source of this 3034-nucleotide RNA transcript. It is a transcript of the gene named UFM1-specific peptidase 1 (non-functional), with no coding region annotated. The transcript is spliced from 3 exons. The record is from RefSeq and is a predicted model, not a curated record. Lineage: Eukaryota; Metazoa; Chordata; Actinopteri; Syngnathiformes; Syngnathidae.
GUGGAGGGUGGGUGGAUGCGGGGGGGUGAAAAAAACCAAAUCUGUCCUAACUCACCGGGAAAGUCCAUGGCGGUGUCCGCAUUGCUCGCACCAUCCGCCCGCCUCGGCCGGUUAAUUGGAAACGAGGCUCUUUUGAGGAUCCGCGACACUUAUCCGUCGGCCAAUUUACAGAGAACUUUCAACGACCCCGUCUGCUGCUGUCGCCGCCAGACUAUAACACUCGGUGGAGCAAGGAAAUGUCUGGCCAACGAGCAGAAACAGUCUACAUACGUCCGCGCGAGUCCCAGAGUAUGAAAACAAGAUGGUCGUGGAUGAAAAUGGUGGUUAGCCUCUCUAGCUUUAGCUAUUCUGAUAACAGCUAGUCUUAAAACAUUCAUACCAGAAGGACCAGGGGACAGGCGCUGAGGAGUGAGGGCAUCGGCGCAAAGUGAAGCGCCAUCUUUGUCGCCAAAAUAUUAUGUCCAAUAAUGCGUGGACAACAAUUGCGUGCUAACAAGAACUUUAUUUUCGGCAAGUCUGUCCCCAUAUGCAAUAAAAGUGAAAGUGAAUAGAAACGAUGAAACAUAUCAAUCAUUUCGACCAUAAUCCUGAGUAUAGACAAAAGCCAAGCUAGAUUUGCAGGCUCUGCGAUGCUCAAUUAGAGAUGCCAGUUCCGUGGUAUUUUGAAGACCAGUAUCCUCAAGGAGAACCUGCACAUAGGUUUUGUGCCUGGUACCUGAUGAUCCAUUCUUGGGUGCCCAGAGUAGAAAUCUGUUUGCUGCUUCAUCUUGGUGGCGAUAAAAAUGGCCAGCAGCCCUAAAUCUGCGUUCUCUCACUUUUGAAGUGAUUUUGGGAAUAUCUCUGUGCAGUUCCUUGUUGGGGUACCUUGUCUUUCCAGCUAAUAUUCAGGGCAGCUCUCAGUAAUCUGGUGUAACACCCAUCCAGACGUCAAGUACUGGCUCGACCAAUGUUUGAAAGAUGUGGCUCUUCAUUUGUCUCGGGAGUUCAUCUUUUCAGAUCUUUGUAGCUUAUUGAUAGCUUUCCAGGCUCGCCAUUUUUACGUUAAUCCUUUGCCUGUUGCAGUUCCUCUUCAUCAAAGCUAUCGGUUGGAAUCUGAAGCGCAGAGAACACUUGUUCUGCUUCUUCAUCCUCAUCAGUAACUACAGGGGGUUUCCCCCAGAGAUUUUGAAAGGUUUGAUACCAGUUGUCAAGUCUCUCUUGUUGCAAUCGACCAUUAACCUUUCUUUUGUUUUGCUUUCAUUCCUGCCUGUAAUGUUGAUGGUUUUCCAUGUUGAUGAGAUGUUCUUUCCUUUGUUCUCCUUUUUGACGGCAGCAAUUUGUCUCCGAAGGAAGUCUUAGUUAGUGUCAACAUAUGCUUUGUCUAGGUUUUCCUUAGCUGAUUGAAGUUUCUCCCUUGUUAGUUGGGUGUUGAUUACGGGUGUCGUUCUCUUCAGAAGCCCUCUCUAAAUCACCUCUUUCAUCUGAAGCCCUCUGAUCCUCACUUGCAAGAAGCUUUCCGUCUCUGAAACAUAGAAAUGCUUACAUUUAUUUACCUUGGCUACGACAUCUCUUCUUACAACUCUCUUGCACAAGCGCGGCUCAGUGAAGAGAAGUAUGCGCAAGGAUCCCACUGUGCGAAAAAUUGUCACCGUUCCACGACAGUCCGAAUACUACAUGAUCGACUUCGCACAUGCCAUAUAGUCCUUUGUUUGUAUUUAUUCGAUAAAAUACGCUCUUCUUAAAACAAUAUAAUGUUACUGCAAUUUGUUCGAUAUUUUUCGAUAUUUUUAGAUCCACCAGCUGAAAUUGAUCCUGUAAGUUGAGUGUUCCGAAUCAUCCUUGGCAUCCAUAUGCAAUGCACAAAUUGGAUAAGCUGUGCUUCCUAGAAGUUUGUCAAAUGUCACACGUUUUCUUUUCUCAAGUUCUCAUAUAACACACAAACUGUGACCAGUAUUCUUCCCAUCUCCCGCCUGACCAUUGGCAAACUAUGGCCGAGAUUCAAUUCCUGUGUACACAUAAUGAGAGCUCUAUUGAACGUCGAUGGACCCGGGCGCCAAAUAACAAACAAAACACUAUUUGAUAACCCGGGCCCAAGCAUUUAUCUCCAAGCCGCAGCAAACAUGGCAAUGAUUUACUCGCAUCCUUCGAAUGACCAAUCCAAAGCAGCAAUAUGCCCCAAAAUAACAAUAAAAACUCACUUGUAAUUAUUACUACAUGCAUUUCUGCUUGAUAUGUUGUAUAUCAACUAUGAAUGCAUCAAGUGGAGUUCAACAAAUGUCCAUUCAAAGUCAUUAAUGCUCCUACAAUGUUAAAUAUACUUGGAAGAGUAGGUAGUAGGUAGCUUUUUGUAAAUUACAUAGCUUCUUUGCAUGUCUGCUGAGAUUAUUCUGUCAGUCAAGUUUACACAACAUGCAAUAAAGUCGAAUGGCUAAGUAGCACCUCAGAUUGAUUUUAAGGAUUUCAUUCUUUCUGAGAGCGUCGAGUUGAAAGAGUUUGAAUGACCGGCUGUCCUAUCGCUACCUUAACAUCACAUCAUUUGCUAGUGUGUGUGUGUGUCUGCAGGGAGACUUUCAAAAUUAAAGUGGUCUUAACGUCGUACCAUGAGGAACUCCCACUUGGUCGGGGACGUUAUAUCGCUCGAGACUUGAUACAAGCAGAUGCAAUGCAGUGCAUAAAACCCAUGGUUAUCUUGUAUGUAACGCUAUUUUUUGAAACACUUCUUCUUUUGUAAUAGAAAAGUGUACGUUUAAUGCUGUCAUUUUUUGGGACGCAAUGAAGCAGGAGGUUCAUGAGUGAGUUUUUCAUGCACAAAUCCAUGCCUGGUGAUGAUCUAAGGUGUUGCGGGGCCUCCCCACUGGCCUCGAGGUGCACUUCUUCCCCCUGCUGGAACUCUAGAGAACUGCCUGGAGAACCGCAAUCACCUGCUCAGGUUGGUGCACGUCAGAAGCGGAGGAGGCGAGCUGGAGACGGUCGCCGUGGAAGAGCUCCAUCAGCACUUUGAGAAACGCAGGUGUCCUGCCAUGAUGGGCGGGGACGGGGACAACUCGUCGAAGGG